AUGACUGACAUGUACA
RNAcentral lists this microRNA (16 nucleotides) under Corchorus olitorius. RNAcentral describes it as "bta-miR-29". The record is from RNAcentral. Lineage: Eukaryota; Viridiplantae; Streptophyta; Magnoliopsida; Malvales; Malvaceae.